This is a non-coding RNA of Taeniopygia guttata (zebra finch), 660 nucleotides long. Lineage: Eukaryota; Metazoa; Chordata; Aves; Passeriformes; Estrildidae. The record is from RefSeq and is a predicted model, not a curated record.
GACAGCUAUGACAGGAGAACAUGCAUUUUGCAGCUCGAAUGAAGAGGCAGAGGAGCUUUAAAAGGUUUAUGUCCUCAAUGUCACUCAUUCUCAUUUAUCUCACGUGUUCUGAUGGGGACACACCAACUUUGACUUAUUCUGGAUUUUGCCUUCAUACAAAGCCAAGAAAUAAGAAAACUUCUUAAUCACCUGAGAGAUACACCAUAAGUGGGAGAUCUACCUGGGCCUUGCUCUUCGUUCCACACGUUCCUAUCAGCAUUGGCAUUAAUGUCUGCCAGACAGAGGAAAAUAAAUGAAGUUGCUCAACUUUGCUUUGUGAGUGUUGCAUGGCUAUUUCAGCAGGGAGUGCUAGGACAUCCACAGCAGGGUCAUCAGCUAGAAUGAAUCACCCCAGCUUGACUGAAGAGCUGGCACUUCAUCUAGACCACAGAGAUGGAUCCAAAGCCAAGGAGGAAGCUUCCAUUUUUACAGGAGAUUAAGGGUGCUGACACUUUAAUGUUUUUCUGAAUUAUGCAGUAGAGACACAUCACCUAUUAGUUCUGACAAUAUAUUGCACUGUGUUAAUCUGCAUGUAUACAGAGUGUCCAGCAUUUACAAAUAGUUUGUCAUAAACAUGACAAAUUGUGAAUGAAACUCAAAUACAUGGACUAAUUCAAAAUA